UGGGGAAUCUUGGACAAUGGGGGAAACCCUGAUCCAGCAAUGCCGCGUGUGUGAAGAAGGCCUGCGGGUUGUAAAGCACUUUUAGUAAUCAAGAGGGCUAUCUUCGGAUAGUCGGACUAAUUACAGAAACAGCACCGGCUAACUCUGUGCCAGCAGCCGCGGUAAUACAGAGGGUGCGAGCGUUAAUCGGAAUUACUGGGCGUAAAGAGCGCGUAGGUGGCCAUGUAAGUCAGGUGUGAAAGACCUUAGCUUAACUAAGGAAUUGCAUUUGAUACUGCAUAGCUAGAGUAUGGUAGAGGAAAGUGGAAUUUCCGGUGUAGCGGUGAAAUGCGUAGAUACCGGAAGGAACACCAGUGGCGAAGGCGACUUUCUGGACCAAUACUGACACUGAGGCGCGAAAGCGUGGGGAGCAAACAGGAUUAGAUACCCCUGUAGUCC
This 438-nucleotide ribosomal RNA is filed under the name uncultured bacterium. RNAcentral's name for it is "bacterial SSU rRNA". It matches the Rfam family "Bacterial small subunit ribosomal RNA", at positions 355 to 796 of the family's 1533-position model. The record is from RNAcentral.